This 484-nucleotide ribosomal RNA is filed under the name uncultured bacterium. RNAcentral's name for it is "partial 16S ribosomal RNA". It matches the Rfam family "Bacterial small subunit ribosomal RNA", at positions 30 to 507 of the family's 1533-position model. The record is from RNAcentral.
AUUGAACGCUGGCGGCAGGCCUAACACAUGCAAGUCGAGCGGAUGAAGGGAGCUUGCUCCUGGAUUCAGCGGCGGACGGGUGAGUAAUGCCUAGGAAUCUGCCUAGUAGUGGGGGAUAACGUCCGGAAACGGGCGCUAAUACCGCAUACGUCCUGAGGGAGAAAGUGGGGGAUCUUCGGACCUCACGCUAUCAGAUGAGCCUAGGUCGGAUUAGCUAGUUGGUGGGGUAAAGGCCUACCAAGGCGACGAUCCGUAACUGGUCUGAGAGGAUGAUCAGUCACACUAGAACUGAGACACGGUCCAGACUCCUACGGGAGGCAGCAGUGGGGAAUAUUGGACAAUGGGCGAAAGCCUGAUCCAGCCAUGCCGCGUGUGUGAAGAAGGUCUUCGGAUUGUAAAGCACUUUAAGUUGGGAGGAAGGGCAGUAAGUUAAUACCUUGCUGUUUUGACGUUACCAACAGAAUAAGCACCGGCUAACUUCGUG